GCAGCCUUAGCUUAGUGGUAGAGCGCCUGCUUCACACGCAGGAGGUCAGUGGUUCGAACCCACUAGGCUGCACCA
RNAcentral lists this transfer RNA (75 nucleotides) under Methylacidiphilales bacterium. Its description in RNAcentral is "Candidatus Methylacidiphilales bacterium tRNA-Val". It matches the Rfam family "tRNA". Rfam says of the family: Transfer RNA (tRNA) molecules are approximately 80 nucleotides in length. Their secondary structure includes four short double-helical elements and three loops (D, anti-codon, and T loops). Further hydrogen bonds mediate the characteristic L-shaped molecular structure. tRNAs have two regions of fundamental functional importance: the anti-codon, which is responsible for specific mRNA codon recognition, and the 3' end, to which the tRNAs corresponding amino acid is attached (by aminoacyl-tRNA synthetases). tRNAs cope with the degeneracy of the genetic code in two manners: having more than one tRNA (with a specific anti-codon) for a particular amino acid; and 'wobble' base-pairing, i.e. permitting non-standard base-pairing at the 3rd anti-codon position. Lineage: Bacteria; Pseudomonadati; Verrucomicrobiota; Methylacidiphilae; Methylacidiphilales. The record is from RNAcentral.